CUGAUGCAGCCAUGCCGCGUGUAUGAAGAAGGCCUUCGGGUUGUAAAGUACUUUCAGUUGUGAGGAAGGGGGUGUAGUUAAUAGCUGCAUMUCUUGACGUUAGCAACAGAAGAAGCACCGGCUAACUCCGUGCCAGCAGCCGCGGUAAU
This 149-nucleotide ribosomal RNA is filed under the name uncultured bacterium. RNAcentral describes it as "partial 16S ribosomal RNA". It matches the Rfam family "Bacterial small subunit ribosomal RNA", at positions 383 to 524 of the family's 1533-position model. The record is from RNAcentral.